GAUGAACGCUGGCGGCGUGCCUAAUACAUGCAAGUCGAGCGAACGGACGAGAAGCUUGCUUCUCUGAUGUUAGCGGCGGACGGGUGAGUAACACGUGGAUAACCUACCUAUAAGACUGGGAUAACUUCGGGAAACCGGAGCUAAUACCGGAUGAUAUUUUGAACCGCAUGGUUCAAAAGUGAAAGACGGUCUUGCUGUCACUUAUAGAUGGAUCCGCGCUGCAUUAGCUAGUUGGUAAGGUAACGGCUUACCAAGGCAACGAUGCAUAGCCGACCUGAGAGGGUGAUCGGCCACACUGGAACUGAGACACGGUCCCGACUCCUACGGGAGGCAGCAGUAGGGAAUCUUCCGCAAUGGGCGAAAGCCUGACGGAGCAACGCCGCGUGGGUGAUGAAGGUCUUCGGAUCGUAAAACUCUGUUAUUAGGGAAGAACAUAUGUGUAAGUAACUGUGCACAUCUUGACGGUACCUAAUCAGAAAGCCACGGCUAACUACGUG
This 497-nucleotide ribosomal RNA is filed under the name uncultured bacterium. RNAcentral describes it as "partial 16S ribosomal RNA". It matches the Rfam family "Bacterial small subunit ribosomal RNA", at positions 28 to 507 of the family's 1533-position model. The record is from RNAcentral.